ACGGCCAUAUCACUUUGAAACACCGGUUGUCGUUCUAUCAUCGAAAUUAAGCAAUGUCGAGCUCGGUCAGUACCUAGAUGGGUAAACGCUUAGGAAUACCAGGUGCUGUAAGC
Molecule: non-coding RNA, 113 nt
Organism: Acanthosepion pharaonis
Lineage: Eukaryota; Metazoa; Mollusca; Cephalopoda; Sepiida; Sepiidae
Source: the annotation of a GenBank genome assembly